GGGUUGUGAGGUUAAGCGACUAAGCGUACACGGUGGAUGCCCUGGCAGUCAGAGGCGAUGAAGGACGUGCUAAUCUGCGAAAAGCGUCGGUAAGGUGAUAUGAACCGUUAUAACCGGCGAUGUCCGAAUGGGGAAACCCAGUGUGAUUCGUCACACUAUCGUUAACUGAAUACAUAGGUUAACGAGGCGAACCGGGGGAACUGAAACAUCUAAGUACCCCGAGGAAAAGAAAUCAACCGAGAUUCCCCCAGUAGCGGCGAGCGAACGGGGAGCAGCCCAGAGUCUGAAUCAGCUUGUGUGUUAGUGGAACGGUCUGGAAAGUCCGACGGUACAGGGUGAUAGUCCCGUACACCAAAAUGCACAGGUUGUGAACUCGAAGAGUAGGGCGGGACACGUGGUAUCCUGUCUGAAUAUGGGGGGACCAUCCUCCAAGGCUAAAUACUCCUGACUGACCGAUAGUGAACCAGUACCGUGAGGGAAAGGCGAAAAGAACCCCGGCGAGGGGAGUGAAAAAGAACCUGAAACCGUGUACGUACAAGCAGUGGGAGCACCUUCGGGUGUGACUGCGUACCUUUUGUAUAAUGGGUCAGCGACUUAUAUUCUGUAGCAAGGUUAACCGUAUAGGGGAGCCGCAGGGAAACCGAGUCUUAACUGGGCGUUAAGUUGCAGGGUAUAGACCCGAAACCCGGUGAUCUAGCCAUGGGCAGGUUGAAGGUUGGGUAACACUAACUGGAGGACCGAACCGACUAAUGUUGAAAAAUUAGCGGAUGACUUGUGGCUGGGGGUGAAAGGCCAAUCAAACCGGGAGAUAGCUGGUUCUCCCCGAAAGCUAUUUAGGUAGCGCCUCGUGAACUCAUCUUCGGGGGUAGAGCACUGUUUCGGCUAGGGGGUCAUCCCGACUUACCAACCCGAUGCAAACUACGAAUACCGAAGAAUGUUAUCACGGGAGACACACGGCGGGUGCUAACGUCCGUCGUGAAGAGGGAAACAACCCAGACCGCCAGCUAAGGUCCCAAAGUCAUGGUUAAGUGGGAAACGAUGUGGGAAGGCACAGACAGCCAGGAUGUUGGCUUAGAAGCAGCCAUCAUUUAAAGAAAGCGUAAUAGCUCACUGGUCGAGUCGGCCUGCGCGGAAGAUGUAACGGGGCUAAACCAUGCACCGAAGCUGCGGCAGCGACACUAUGUGUUGUUGGGUAGGGGAGCGUUCUGUAAGCCUGCGAAGGUGUGCUGUGAGGCAUGCUGGAGGUAUCAGAAGUGCGAAUGCUGACAUAAGUAACGAUAAAGCGGGUGAAAAGCCCGCUCGCCGGAAGACCAAGGGUUCCUGUCCAACGUUAAUCGGGGCAGGGUGAGUCGACCCCUAAGGCGAGGCCGAAAGGCGUAGUCGAUGGGAAACAGGUUAAUAUUCCUGUACUUGGUGUUACUGCGAAGGGGGGACGGAGAAGGCUAUGUUAGCCGGGCGACGGUUGUCCCGGUUUAAGCAUGUAGGCUGAUUAUCCAGGCAAAUCCGGAUAAUCAAGGCUGAGGUGUGAUGACGAGGCACUACGGUGCUGAAGUAACAAAUGCCCUGCUUCCAGGAAAAGCCUCUAAGCAUCAGGUAACAUCAAAUCGUACCCCAAACCGACACAGGUGGUCAGGUAGAGAAUACCAAGGCGCUUGAGAGAACUCGGGUGAAGGAACUAGGCAAAAUGGUGCCGUAACUUCGGGAGAAGGCACGCUGGUGUGUAGGUGAAGUCCCUGCGGAUGGAGCUGAGACCAGUCGAAGAUACCAGCUGGCUGCAACUGUUUAUUAAAAACACAGCACUGUGCAAACACGAAAGUGGACGUAUACGGUGUGACGCCUGCCCGGUGCCGGAAGGUUAAUUGAUGGGGUUAUCCGUAAGGAGAAGCUCUUGAUCGAAGCCCCGGUAAACGGCGGCCGUAACUAUAACGGUCCUAAGGUAGCGAAAUUCCUUGUCGGGUAAGUUCCGACCUGCACGAAUGGCGUAAUGAUGGCCAGGCUGUCUCCACCCGAGACUCAGUGAAAUUGAACUCGCUGUGAAGAUGCAGUGUACCCGCGGCAAGACGGAAAGACCCCGUGAACCUUUACUAUAGCUUGACACUGAACAUUGAGCCUUGAUGUGUAGGAUAGGUGGGAGGCUUUGAAGCGUGGACGCCAGUCUGCGUGGAGCCAACCUUGAAAUACCACCCUUUAAUGUUUGAUGUUCUAACGUUGGCCCCUGACCGGGGUUGCGGACAGUGUCUGGUGGGUAGUUUGACUGGGGCGGUCUCCUCCCAAAGCGUAACGGAGGAGCACGAAGGUUAGCUAAUCCUGGUCGGACAUCAGGAGGUUAGUGCAAUGGCAUAAGCUAGCUUGACUGCGAGCGUGACGGCGCGAGCAGGUGCGAAAGCAGGUCAUAGUGAUCCGGUGGUUCUGAAUGGAAGGGCCAUCGCUCAACGGAUAAAAGGUACUCCGGGGAUAACAGGCUGAUACCGCCCAAGAGUUCAUAUCGACGGCGGUGUUUGGCACCUCGAUGUCGGCUCAUCACAUCCUGGGGCUGAAGUAGGUCCCAAGGGUAUGGCUGUUCGCCAUUUAAAGUGGUACGCGAGCUGGGUUUAGAACGUCGUGAGACAGUUCGGUCCCUAUCUGCCGUGGGCGCUGGAGAAUUGAGGGGGGCUGCUCCUAGUACGAGAGGACCGGAGUGGACGCAUCACUGGUGUUCGGGUUGUCAUGCCAAUGGCACUGCCCGGUAGCUAAAUGCGGAAGAGAUAAGUGCUGAAAGCAUCUAAGCACGAAACUUGCCCCGAGAUGAGUUCUCCCUGAGACUUUAAGUCUCCUGAAGGAACGUU
Molecule: ribosomal RNA, 2825 nt
Filed under: Klebsiella pneumoniae
Lineage: Bacteria; Pseudomonadati; Pseudomonadota; Gammaproteobacteria; Enterobacterales; Enterobacteriaceae
Description: bacterial LSU rRNA
Rfam family: Bacterial large subunit ribosomal RNA
Source: RNAcentral